RNAcentral lists this ribosomal RNA (253 nucleotides) under uncultured bacterium. Its description in RNAcentral is "partial 16S ribosomal RNA". It matches the Rfam family "Bacterial small subunit ribosomal RNA", at positions 526 to 779 of the family's 1533-position model. The record is from RNAcentral.
CGUAGGUGGCAAGCGUUGUCCGGAAUUACUGGGUGUAAAGGGCGUGUAGGCGGGUUAUUAAGUCAGAUGUGAAAUUCCAGGGCUCAACCCUGGCGCUGCAUCUGAAACUGAUGAUCUUGAGUACUGGAGAGGGAAGCGGAAUUCCUAGUGUAGCGGUGAAAUGCGUAGAUAUUAGGAGGAACACCAGUGGCGAAGGCGGCUUUCUGGACAGUAACUGACGCUGAGGCGCGAAAGCGUGGGAGCAAACAGGAUU